Molecule: long non-coding RNA, 137 nt
Filed under: Oreochromis niloticus (Nile tilapia)
Lineage: Eukaryota; Metazoa; Chordata; Actinopteri; Cichliformes; Cichlidae
Description: lncRNA (ENSONIG00000042989.1)
Source: RNAcentral
CUUCCCUUUAGGCUCUGUGAAUGUGUGUGUGUGUGUGUGUGUAUCAAUAUUUCUCCCAUUUUAAAGUAUUACUCCUCCAUAAUUGGAUUUCUCUUAAAUCAAAGUACUUUUACUACAUCUUAGUACUUCUGCUCAAU